RNAcentral lists this transfer RNA (67 nucleotides) under Bombus sylvestris. Its description in RNAcentral is "tRNA-Leu". Lineage: Eukaryota; Metazoa; Arthropoda; Insecta; Hymenoptera; Apidae. The record is from RNAcentral.
UUUAAUAUGGCAGAUAAGUGCCUUGAAUUUAAAAUUCAAUAAUAAAGUUAUUUAACUUUUAUUAAAA